UACGGAGGAUGCGAGCGUUAUCCGGAUUUAUUGGGUUUAAAGGGUGCGUAGGCGGGAUGCCAAGUCAGCGGUAAAAAUGCGGUGCUCAACGCCGUCGAGCCGUUGAAACUGGCGUUCUUGAGUGGGCGAGAAGUAUGCGGAAUGCGUGGUGUAGCGGUGAAAUGCAUAGAUAUCACGCAGAACUCCGAUUGCGAAGGCAGCACACCGGCGCCCUACUGACGCUGAGGCACGAAAGCGUGGGUAUCGAACAGG
Molecule: ribosomal RNA, 252 nt
Filed under: uncultured bacterium
Lineage: Bacteria
Description: partial 16S ribosomal RNA
Rfam family: Bacterial small subunit ribosomal RNA
Source: RNAcentral